UUUCUUGAUAAAUGGUAGACCAUUUCUAAAAAAUAAAAAAUUUCUACUCAUCUUGCUACAAUAUAUUGACGAUACGAUUGCUGUAAUUCUACGCAAGAUGUCGUGCUGCAGCCCGAACCGAAACUUGCAAGUCCCCUAGUGUCGUUUAUGUUUUAUAUUGCGCAUAAAUACGCAGAACCCGGGUUUCCGAAUUAUAUUUGUGACACAAAUUUGGCAUCAAAGGGCGGGAAACACGUGACUGAAUGUACGUUUUUACUUCUUGAGGCAAUUAUUAUACAUCAUCUCAUAUUAUUUGAUGCGGUAUAGUUGUGAAGUUAUAUAUCAUGAAAUCGGAUGCGUUUGUAGAGAUUCGACUGCUUUUUUACAUCCAUAUUAUUAUGUAUAAUCUUCCACAAAGCCGAUCCUGGCGAAGCAUGUGUGAAUCUUGCAUGUUCUGCGGCAGGCAUCUGUCAGAAGACAACGUUUGCAAGUCUUCCCACCACUGCGGGAACAGACAAAUAGUUGCCUGCCGGCAAGGUCAUGCAUGCGCCCAGGUACCAUUUCAUGCGCCGUCAGAUCAUGCAAGAUCUUGAUCGGCAGCGCCAUGCGGCAGAAUAAUGCUGUAUGGCGACGCAAAUCAAGCGAGCAAACAGCAAAGCUGUAUGGGACUGUCAAACAGAACUUGCUGCAGCAUUCAUGCGACGUCUGCUGCAAUUAUGUUCUUCGUACUUCGCAAGCUUCCCGUACGUACGCGCAGGAUGCUUAUACCCUAUAUGUUACAUACAAUAAUCGCGGGAACUGGGGAAGCUAGGGCUUCCCAGUAAAACGUGUAGAUAUACAUAUAGUCGACGAUAUUUUAUCAGCCGUAAGACAUACACGAGCUGGAAGGAAAAUAUAAAGAAAUACAUUACCUCAUUUCACAGGUUCUCAGAUCACAUUGCUGUUUGGCUUCUCGUCCAGAAGAUGUAAGAAUAUUGAUUUGGACUUGCAAUCGUCGCGUUGAAUUGAUUGAUGUUAAACCCGGAAAAUAUUGGCAUGUGUCUAUUAUGGGAAGGGUAAGCCGAAAGAUCCGAACAAUUUCUUUAAAAUGUUCACAAAUGAAGUCCAAGAGGUUUUCGCCAGCGGUGGUAUCCACUUCAAGAAUCAUUUAGUAAAAAUAAAGUUCAGAUGCUUCAUAGCUGAUACUCCGGAUUGAUUCCUUGGAGGUAUUCCAAGAGUUUGAAGAAGAUCCUGAAAGACAACGAUUUCUAAGAUACUAUCUUAUUAACGUUGGUGGUGUCACAGCUAGAGAUGCUUUCAACCAAUUUCUGAAGGAAGCCAUGACGGAUAGCCUGACACAAAAAUUCUCUUGGACUGGAAAGUCUGUUUCAGAUAAAGAGAAUCUCCGACCGUUAUUUAAUACCUGUAUCGAAAAGUAUUUUUUGAUGCCUUACGUGAGUGUCGAAAAAUACCACAGCCACAUGAUCGUACAGAAUUUGCGAGACUGAUGCAAGAGGCAAUUUGGGGCGCACAAAAAAGAUUGCGGGAUGCAAAACGGCGUGCCAAUCGCUCUGUCCAUGUGGAGGGUCACAGACAAAAAUAUAUGGCUGAAAUGGCUCAUCGUUACAAGGUUGAACACCCAGGACAAUGACACUGCGGAAUAAGAGACCCACAAUUUGCCUAUUAAAGAUCCUACGCGUAUUCAAACAUACGUACCUAUGUACUCGCUGUGAGCCUCACUCGUGCCGCCACCUAGCGGUUUCAAAAGCUAAACAGCCGGCGUGUUAAUUUACAUUAGAGGCAUACUGAUAAAUAUCCAAAUCAGCAAAAUAUUAUCAAAUAAGUGAUAUUUCCACUGUAACAGUGAAGUGAAAAGUUGAAAAUAAUAACGAGUUCAAACUCCAGUAGUAUGUAGCAAUAUAAUAUUAAUAAAUACACAAUGAAAACCACUA
Molecule: long non-coding RNA, 1910 nt
Filed under: Neodiprion lecontei (redheaded pine sawfly)
Lineage: Eukaryota; Metazoa; Arthropoda; Insecta; Hymenoptera; Diprionidae
Description: uncharacterized LOC124293158, transcript variant X8
Source: RNAcentral